RNAcentral lists this ribosomal RNA (253 nucleotides) under uncultured bacterium. RNAcentral describes it as "partial 16S ribosomal RNA". It matches the Rfam family "Bacterial small subunit ribosomal RNA", at positions 524 to 776 of the family's 1533-position model. The record is from RNAcentral.
UACGUAGGCAGCAAGCGUUGUUCGGAGUUACUGGGCGUAAAGAGUGUGUAGGCGGUUGGGUAAGUUCGGUGUGAAAUCUCCCGGCUUAACUGGGAGGGUGCGCCGAAGACUGCCUGGCUUGAGUGCGGGAGAGGAAAGCGGAAUUCCUGGUGUAGCGGUGAAAUGCGUAGAUAUCAGGAGGAACACCUGCGGUGUAGACGGCUUUCUGGACCGUGACUGACGCUGAGACAAGAAAGUGUGGGUAGCAAACAGG